Erinaceus europaeus (western European hedgehog) is the source of this 532-nucleotide long non-coding RNA. RefSeq lists it as uncharacterized. Lineage: Eukaryota; Metazoa; Chordata; Mammalia; Eulipotyphla; Erinaceidae. The record is from RefSeq and is a predicted model, not a curated record. The transcript has 3 exons.
CUGCAAGCCAGCUAAUAUCAUAAUUAACUAAGUUGCUACUCCGUCUGCAAAGUUGAAUCGAAAGAUCGGCCAGUGAUAGGAGGCAUUGUCAUAAAGCUCACAAGGGAUAUAAGAGUCGACUGGACUCACAGGAGAACAGCAGAGCUGUGUAAGGCAAGAUGAGAGACAGUCAACUUGUUCAGCCAAAGGUUAUGCUUCAUAUCACCCACCAGGGAGGAUCAUCUCUCAUGAAAACUUUCAAAUUUGAUUUUGAAAAUUAUUCAGAAAAAUCUAAGCCGUGCAAUCUCCUAGAGUCGGCAAGAAUAUGCUCUGAAGAUUCCUUUAAUUCAAAGAAAAUGGACAGGGAUAACAUUUAGGCUGCUCUGCUCUCAACGCCGCUGUGAGAAGGCCCGCCAGACUUCAGCAGCAACUGGACUAAUCAGACUGUCUGAGGAGCACAGCCAAGCUGCCACUGUCUCUUCUCCUGGCUCAUUCUGAUGCGUCUUGAGCUCUGAGACAGCUUGAUGGCCAGACAGCGCCCUUUCAGGCGGAA